RNAcentral lists this ribosomal RNA (453 nucleotides) under uncultured organism. Its description in RNAcentral is "partial 16S ribosomal RNA". It matches the Rfam family "Bacterial small subunit ribosomal RNA", at positions 332 to 801 of the family's 1533-position model. The record is from RNAcentral.
UACACUCCUACGGGAGGCAGCAGUGGGGAAUAUUGGACAAUGGGCGCAAGCCUGAUCCAGCCAUGCCGCGUGAGUGAUGAAGGCCCUAGGGUUGUAAAGCUCUUUCACCGGUGAAGAUAAUGACGGUAACCGGAGAAGAAGCCCCGGCUAACUUCGUGCCAGCAGCCGCGGUAAUACGAAGGGGGCUAGCGUUGUUCGGAUUUACUGGGCGUAAAGCGCACGUAGGCGGACUAUUAAGUCAGGGGUGAAAUCCCGGGGCUCAACCCCGGAACUGCCUUUGAUACUGGUAGUCUUGAGUUCGAGAGAGGUGAGUGGAAUUCCGAGUGUAGAGGUGAAAUUCGUAGAUAUUCGGAGGAACACCAGUGGCGAAGGCGGCUCACUGGCUCGAUACUGACGCUGAGGUGCGAAAGCGUGGGGAGCAAACAGGAUUAGAUACCCCAGUAGUCCCAUGAU